UUCACUGGGAGGUGCGUUCUAGCCUGGUAGUGUCUCACUGAGAGGUGCGUUCUAGCCUGGUAGUGUCUCAUUAGGAGGUACGUUCUAGCCUGGUAGUGUUUCACUGGGAGGUUCGUUCUAGCCUGGUAGUGUCUCACUGGGAGGUACGUUCUAGCCUGGUAGUGUCUCACUGGGAGGUACGUUCUAGCCUGGUAGUGUCUCACUGGGAGGUACGUUCUAGCCUGGUAGUGUCUCACUGGGAGGUACGUUCUAGCCUGGUAGUGUCUCACUGGGAGGUACGUUCUAGCCUGGUAGUGUCUCACUGGGAGGUACGUUCUAGCCUGGUAGUGUCUCACUGGGAGGUACGUUCUAGCCUGGUAGUGUCUCACUGGGAGGUACGUUCUAGCCUGGUAGUGUCUCACUGGGAGGUACGUUCUAGCCUGGUAGUGUCUCACUGGGAGGUACGUUCUAGCCUGGUAGUGUCUCACUGGGAGGUACGUUCUAGCCUGGUAGUGUCUCACUGGGAGGUACGUUCUAGCCUGGUAGUGUCUCACUGGGAGGUACGUUCUAGCCUGGUAGUGUCUCACUGGGAGGUACGUUCUAGCCUGGUAGUGUCUCACUGGGAGGUACGUUCUAGCCUGGUAGUGUCUCACUGGGAGGUACGUUCUAGCCUGGUAGUGUCUCACUGGGAGGUACGUUCUAGCCUGGUAGUGUCUCACUGGGAGGUACG
Oncorhynchus keta (chum salmon) is the source of this 709-nucleotide long non-coding RNA. RefSeq lists it as uncharacterized. NCBI's taxonomy places the organism in Eukaryota, Metazoa, Chordata, Actinopteri, Salmoniformes, Salmonidae. The record is from RefSeq and is a predicted model, not a curated record. The transcript has 4 exons.